GUGCCAGCCGCUGGGGUAAUACGGAGGGUGCAAGCGUUAUCCGGAUUUACUGGGUUUAAAGGGUGCGUAGGCGGACUUGUAAGUCUGAGGUGAAAUCUCCGAGCUUAACUCGGAAACUGCCUUGGAUACUAUAGGUCUUGAAUGUCGUUGAGGUCAGCGGAAUAUGUCAUGUAGCGGUGAAAUGCUUAGAUAUGACAUAGAACACCUAUUGCGAAGGCAGCUGGCUAAGCGAAAAUUGACGCUGAGGCACGAAAGCGUGGGAUCAAACAGGAUUAGAUACCCUGGUAGUCCACGCCCUAAACGAUGAUUACUCGACGUGCGCGAUACACAGUGCGCGUCUGAGCGAAAGCAUUAAGUAAUCCACCUGGGAAGUACGUUCGACAAGAAUGAAACUCGAAAGGAUU
Molecule: ribosomal RNA, 404 nt
Filed under: uncultured Sphingobacteriaceae bacterium
Lineage: Bacteria; Pseudomonadati; Bacteroidota; Sphingobacteriia; Sphingobacteriales; Sphingobacteriaceae
Description: bacterial SSU rRNA
Rfam family: Bacterial small subunit ribosomal RNA
Source: RNAcentral